Molecule: non-coding RNA, 109 nt
Organism: Naganishia friedmannii
Lineage: Eukaryota; Fungi; Basidiomycota; Tremellomycetes; Filobasidiales; Filobasidiaceae
Source: the annotation of a GenBank genome assembly
CCUCUCAUAGCUCAGUUGGAAGAGCGAAGCAUUGUAAUCCUCCGAGCCCGUAUACAACGGGCCAAUUUGCCGCCUGCUUAGGUCGCCCGUUCGAUCCGGGCUGAGAGGA